This 259-nucleotide ribosomal RNA is filed under the name uncultured bacterium. RNAcentral's name for it is "partial 16S ribosomal RNA". It matches the Rfam family "Bacterial small subunit ribosomal RNA", at positions 793 to 1055 of the family's 1533-position model. The record is from RNAcentral.
GUCCACACCGUAAACGAUGGAUACUAGGUGUCGGGACUUGAUCUUCGGUGCCGUAGCUAACGCGUUAAGUAUCCCGCCUGGGAGUACGGUCGCAAGGCUGAAACUCAAAGAAAUUGACGGGGCCCGCACAAGCGGUGGAGUAUGUGGUUUAAUUCGAUGCAACGCGAAGAACCUUACCUAGGCUUGACAUCCUGGUAAUCCUGCAGAGAUGCGGGAGUGCCCUUGGGGAAUCCAGAGACAGGUGCUGCAUGGCUGUCGU